AAAGAAAAGAACCUAGCACAAGAGACUGAAUUGAAGUGCAAGAAAGGGAGAAAGAACCCUUUUACCCAGUUGACACCAACGAAAUUCUAGCAACGUAUCCUUGGGGUACAAGGCAAGCGGUCUUGGAGAAAUGCAUAGGGAACACUGGAACACACGUGUUAAUAGAAAUUAGCAAUCAUCCUUCCCCUGGUUUUCUAGACCAGACGACACAUGUCACAGAGCAGAGAUGACCUACCUAAAGUCACAGUUCUAGUUGGUGUCCCAAGACUCAACCGAGUGGCGAGAAUUCACCACCAUCAGAUCCCGUGAAGGCAUUACCUUCCAAAGCCUGCGGAGCCUCGGGAAUUUAACACUCUGAAUUCUGCAGCAAAAAGAUGCCUUGAGCUGUCUUGGCCGUAUCCUUAGCUUGGCUUCCUCCAGAUGGUACUGUGCUGGUGCAUUUCCUGAGCAUUAACGUGAAGUUGGUUUUCCUCCCGUCCCUGAUGGCACCCUCUGUCAGUGGCUGUCGCUUGGUCCUUCUCUUUGCCCAACCUCUGAGUAUUCUAGUGAUUAGAAUACUAUGACUACUAGGUCUUCUCGUCUCUGGCUACACACACAUUCCCUCCAAGGUCAGAGGUGUGCAUCCAAUUGGUGUCCACUUUCUACGUAGACGUCUCACAUCUCCAACUGAAGUUAUGCUGGCAUCUCAAAAUUCGUGCACGUAGUGGAGCACCUACUAUAUGUACAGUUCCUAGUGCUAAGGAAAUGCUUCCAAAGCCUACAAAACUACCACUUUUCACGAACUUGAACUUCUGAUUAGGAGACAAAGGACACUUGGUGAUAAGUGUGGUGUCAGAAGACCAAGAGGGUUGAUGUCGAAGGCAGAGAGUCUAGCACAGAAAUCGCUGCUUCACUGGGAGAGGCUUCGUCUGAGGGCAGAGAGGAACUGGUGUCUGAGGGAGAGCCUCUCGGACAAGGGGGUCCAGUGUGCAAAGACACCUGGAGCAAGGCUGCAGGCAUGGAGACACGUCCUCAUCCUGAACCUCUCCUCUUGAGUCACCGGGUCCUCCAGGAGCAGCGAGGCUGGUUGAUAAACACCUCUGUAACAAGAGCCUGAAACUAUCUCCAAGCAAUGAGCCGGCAGGACAGACCAUCCCCAGGAUGAGAACAAUUACCUGUGUGGAAGCGUCUACACCCUGGAACAGAUUGUCUUGUAAGAACCAGACUGGUCUCCUCCAGUUAAUGCCAGAUUAGCAGUUUUUAUGAAACCACCUCUCUGGACCAGACUUUGACCAAGACUACUUAGUAAUGAUACCUCUUGCCCCUUCAACAAUUUCCCCUUAAUUAUAAAACCUACUGUUCAUUUCGGUGUCUUAAAGUGGAAUCCAGGGCCACUGGCUUCUUUCAUUUGUUUGUCUUUCCUAUGCAUUGAUUGAAUUUCCAUCUCUGCUUUUCACUAAAACUCUUAAAAAAAGAAAUUUAAGUGUAAAAUA
Onychomys torridus (southern grasshopper mouse) is the source of this 1472-nucleotide long non-coding RNA. RefSeq lists it as uncharacterized. Lineage: Eukaryota; Metazoa; Chordata; Mammalia; Rodentia; Cricetidae. The record is from RefSeq and is a predicted model, not a curated record. The transcript has 5 exons.